CAGAAACCCUUUGUGAACUUAUACCUUACUGUUGCCUCGGCGCUAGCUGGUCCUUCGGGGCCCCUCACCCCCGGGUGUUGAGACAGCCCGCCGGCGGCCAACCCAACUCUUGUUUUUACACUGAAACUCUGAGAAUAAAACAUAAAUGAAUCAAAACUUUCAACAACGGAUCUCUUGGUUCUGGCAUCGAUGAAGAACGCAGCGAAAUGCGAUAAGUAAUGUGAAUUGCAGAAUUCAGUGAAUCAUCGAAUCUUUGAACGCACAUUGCGCCCUCUGGUAUUCCGGAGGGCAUGCCUGUUCGAGCGUCAUUUCAACCCUCAAGCCUGGCUUGGUGAUGGGGCACUGCUUCUUACCCAAGGAGCAGGCCCUGAAAUUCAGUGGCGAGCUCGCCAGGACCCCGAGCGCAGUAGUUAAACCCUCGCUCUGGAAGGCCCUGGCGGUGCCCUGCCGUUAAACCCCCAACUUCUGAAAAUU
This 474-nucleotide ribosomal RNA is filed under the name Diaporthe eres. Its description in RNAcentral is "eukaryotic LSU rRNA". The stretch from base 155 to 308 matches the Rfam family "5.8S ribosomal RNA". Lineage: Eukaryota; Fungi; Ascomycota; Sordariomycetes; Diaporthales; Diaporthaceae. The record is from RNAcentral.